Molecule: ribosomal RNA, 468 nt
Filed under: uncultured bacterium
Lineage: Bacteria
Description: partial 16S ribosomal RNA
Rfam family: Bacterial small subunit ribosomal RNA
Source: RNAcentral
GACGAACGCUGGCGGCGUGCUUAACACAUGCAAGUCGAACGGAAAGGCCCUGCUUUUGUGGGGUGCUCGAGUGGCGAACGGGUGAGUAACACGUGAGUAACCUGCCCUUGACUUUGGGAUUACUUCAGGAAACUGGGGCUAAUACCGGAUAGGAGCUCCUGCUGCAUGGUGGGGGUUGGAGAGUUUCGGCGGUUGGGGGUGGACUCGCGGCUUAUCAGCUUGUUGGUGGGGUUGUGGCUUACCAAGGCUUUGACGGGUAGCCGGCCUGAGAGGGUGACCGGCCACAUUGGGACUGAGAUACGGCCCAGACUCCUACGGGAGGCAGCGGUGGGGAUUAUUGCACAAUGGGCGGAAGCCGAAUGCAGCAACGCCGCGUGCGGGAUGACGGCCUUCGGGUUGUAAACCGCUUUCGCCUGUGACGAAGCGUGAGUGACGGUAAUGGGUAAAGAAGCACCGGCUAACUACGUG